RNAcentral lists this ribosomal RNA (274 nucleotides) under uncultured bacterium. Its description in RNAcentral is "partial 16S ribosomal RNA". It matches the Rfam family "Bacterial small subunit ribosomal RNA", at positions 523 to 796 of the family's 1533-position model. The record is from RNAcentral.
GUACGGAGGGGGCUAGCGUUGUUCGGAAUUACUGGGCGUAAAGCGUACGUAGGCGGACUGAUCAGUUGGGGGUGAAAUCCCAGGGCUUAACCCUGGAACUGCCUUCAAUACUGUCAGUCUUGAGUUUGGGAGAGGUGAGUGGAAUUCCUAGUGUAGAGGUGAAAUUCAUAGAUAUUAGGAGGAACACCAGUGGCGAAGGCGGCUCACUGGCCCAUUACUGACGCUGAGGUACGAAAGCGUGGGGAGCAAACAGGAUUAGAAACCCUAGUAGUCC